ACGGAAGGCAGCAGUGGGGAAUAUUGGGCAAUGGGCGGAAGCCUGACCCAGCAACGCCGCGUGAAGGAAGAAGGUUUUCGGAUUGUAAACUUCUGUCCUUGGUGACGAAGGAAGUGACGGUAGCCAAGGAGGAAGCCCCGGCUAACUACGUGCCAGCAGCCGCGGUAAUACGUAGGGGGCAAGCGUUGUCCGGAAUGACUGGGCGUAAAGGGCGUGUAGGCGGCCGAUUAAGUCUGAAGUGAAAGUCCUGCUUUCAAGGUGGGAAUUGCUUUGGAGACUGGUUGGCUUGAGUGCGGAAGAGGUAAGUGGAAUUCCCAGUGUAGCGGUGAAAUGCGUAGAUAUUAGGAGGAACACCAGUGGCGAAGGCGGCUUACUGGACGAUAACUGACGUUGAGGCUCGAAAGCGUGGGGAGCAAACAGGAUUAGAUACCCUGGUA
RNAcentral lists this ribosomal RNA (437 nucleotides) under uncultured bacterium. RNAcentral describes it as "partial 16S ribosomal RNA". It matches the Rfam family "Bacterial small subunit ribosomal RNA", at positions 341 to 792 of the family's 1533-position model. The record is from RNAcentral.